AGAGAGUGCAAGCGUUAAUCGGAAUUACUGGGCGUAAAGCGCACGUAGGUGGAUAUUUAAGUCGGAUGUGAAAGCCCUGGGCUCAACCUGGGAAUUGCAUCCGAUACUGGGUAUCUAGAGUAUGGUAGAGGGAAGUGGAAUUUCCGGUGUAGCGGUGAAAUGCGUAGAUAUCGGAAAGAACACCAGUGGCGAAGGCGGCUUCCUGGACCAAUACUGACACUGAGGUGCGAAAGCGUGGGGAGCAAACAGGAUUAGAGACCCUGGUAGUCCACGCCGUCAACGAUGAGAACUAGCUGUUGGGAGGUUUACCUUUUAGUAGCGAAGCUAACGCGUUAAGUUCUCCGCCUGGGGAGUACGGUCGCAAGAUUA
RNAcentral lists this ribosomal RNA (369 nucleotides) under uncultured organism. RNAcentral describes it as "partial 16S ribosomal RNA". It matches the Rfam family "Bacterial small subunit ribosomal RNA", at positions 527 to 896 of the family's 1533-position model. The record is from RNAcentral.